Bombina bombina (fire-bellied toad) is the source of this 544-nucleotide long non-coding RNA. RefSeq lists it as uncharacterized. The record is from RefSeq and is a predicted model, not a curated record. NCBI's taxonomy places the organism in Eukaryota, Metazoa, Chordata, Amphibia, Anura, Bombinatoridae. The transcript is spliced from 3 exons.
ACCAGCUUGUGUAACAGGGUGGGUGAGAAGAGAAUCUGCAGAUAGAGAGAGACUGAUCUGAUACAGACACGGACAAGAGCUUCCCCGAGAGAAGCAGGAGAGAGACUCUCAGCCAAAAGAUGGUGUGACUGAUAAUUAAUGCUUGCCGCUAUGUGGCCAAGAGGAUCAUUGCUUCCCGACGUGGAGGAGCAGAGGAGGAAGCUGGAGCAGCGGUUUGCGCCCUGAACUCAUCAUGUGCCCUUCGUGCAGGGUCUAAAAAGGAUGGCGCAACCAAACCUCCAGCCGCUAACCACUCUACCUCAGUGACCUCCAAACCUCCAAAACUGGCUCCUCCUCUUACCUCAGAAAUUCAACCACUUGACCCCGCGCCCAAGUAACCGCAUCGCUCUGCAUAUCAAAGGGCGGAAUGGGAGAAGCGAGGCUUAAAGGAAAAUGAGAGGAGGCAACGCAGCAAAGUAUGACCCCCUUCUCUGCAGCCUCUUCAUAUGAGAGGUUGGGAUGGGGUGAGAUGUCUGCUGGGUUGUAAAUAAAUAUUUAAAAAGAA